Molecule: long non-coding RNA, 348 nt
Organism: Fukomys damarensis (Damara mole-rat)
Lineage: Eukaryota; Metazoa; Chordata; Mammalia; Rodentia; Bathyergidae
Exons: 3
Source: RefSeq, a predicted model, not a curated record
CAUCUUGGUGAGACUACACAGCACAGACUGGAUACAGCACCAGUGCAGCUAUGGCCUCGUUCUUUUCCUUUAGUUUCAUUUUUUGUUGCUGUUCAGGAAUAUUGUGGAAGGAAAGUUGUGGAGGUUCAGAAGUCCAAGAUUAAGGGACUUUUAGGUUCUGCUGUUCGCCGAGGGCUACUUGACCUCCACGGUGGUGCCUGCCAUGUGUCCUCCAGAGGUGGGCAGUGCCGUGUCCUCACAAGGCCAAGGCGGGAGGAACCACAAACCAGCUGAAUGGUCUGAGAAACAUCUUUUAUGAGACCAUAAUCUCAUGAAAAGGCUCUCUCUAUGAAACAGGAAGACUCUCAU